RNAcentral lists this ribosomal RNA (433 nucleotides) under uncultured bacterium. RNAcentral describes it as "partial 16S ribosomal RNA". It matches the Rfam family "Bacterial small subunit ribosomal RNA", at positions 29 to 507 of the family's 1533-position model. The record is from RNAcentral.
AACGAACGCUGGCGGCAUGCCUAACACAUGCAAGUCGAACGAGACCUUCGGGUCUAGUGGCGCACGGGUGCGUAACGCGUGGGAACCUGCCCUUAGGUUCGGAAUAACUCCCCGAAAGGGGUGCUAAUACCGGAUAAUUUCUUCGGACCAAAGAUUUAUCGCCUUUGGAUGGUCCCGCGUUGUAUUAGCUAGUUGGUAGGGUAAAAGCCUACCAAGGCGACGAUCCAUAGAUGGUCUGAGAGGAUGAUCAGCCACACUGGGACUGAGACACGGCCCAGAAUCCUACGGGAGGCAGCAGUGGGGAAUAUUGGACAAUGGGCGAAAGCCUGAUCAAGCAAUGACGCGUGAGUGAUGAAGGCCUUAGGGUUGUAAAGCUCUUUUACCCGGGAUGAUAAUGACAGUACCGGGAGAAUAAGCUCCGGCUAACUACGUG